Molecule: ribosomal RNA, 440 nt
Filed under: uncultured bacterium
Lineage: Bacteria
Description: partial 16S ribosomal RNA
Rfam family: Bacterial small subunit ribosomal RNA
Source: RNAcentral
CCUACGGGGGGCAGCAGUGGGGAAUAUUGCACAAUGGGGGAAACCCUGAUGCAGCGACGCCGCGUGAGUGAAGAAGUAAUUCGUUAUGUAAAGCUCUAUCAGCAGGGAAGAAAAUGACGGUACCUGAGUAAGAAGCCCCGGCUAACUACGUGCCAGCAGCCGCGGUAAUACGUAGGGGGCAAGCGUUAUCCGGAUUUACUGGGGUUAAAGGGAGCGUAGACGGCAGUGCAAGUCUGGAGGGAAAGGCGGGGGCUCAACCCCCGGACUGCUCUGGAAACUGUACGGCUUGAGUGCAGGAGAGGGAUGGGGAAUUCCGGGUGUAGCGGUGAAAUGCGUAGAUAUUAGGAGGAACACCAGGGGCGAAGGCGGCUUACUGGACUGUAACUGACGUGGAGGCUCGAAAGCGUGGGGAGCGAACAGGAUUAGAUACCCCUGUAGUC